Molecule: long non-coding RNA, 641 nt
Filed under: Salmo salar (Atlantic salmon)
Lineage: Eukaryota; Metazoa; Chordata; Actinopteri; Salmoniformes; Salmonidae
Description: lncRNA (ENSSSAG00000107060.1)
Source: RNAcentral
GGAAUGUUUAGAAAGGUUAUGACCUAGAAAGAGUGCCUAACAACACAAAAGGGGUGACAUUGAGGCCACCCAACCAGUUGAUCAGCAAUUGCCAUAUUAAGGCUGUAAAUAUGGUCUGAGAUUCAUAUUGAACAUAUGUGCGUUCUCCUGUCGUACUGGCAUUACUGAUCGUGAGGUGAUAGAGAGAGAAGACGCUAUACUUUUGGACCUGUAUACCUGGUUUACCAUCACCUUGUGCCCCUUUGGGAGUACAAUUUCAAGUGGACUUCAUUUAUUUAUUUCAAGAAGUUCAGGUGGUGGAGAUAUGGCCAAAAUCAAGAUGAGAUGGAGAGCUACAUUGCUAUGUCUAACAGGGAAUCAUUACAGUUUGACAACACAAUUUCAAGACCUCCACAGAAUGCAUUCUGCUUGGGCAGCCUAUAACACACCCCCAACAAAAUCGGCUUGGUUUUGGGAAGGCAGAUAUUCAGCCAGACAAUCUCCAGAUCAGUGCUCCAGAUGACAAAACCUGCAAACAGUUUCUGGUCUGCCGACAUCCUUCUGGUCACACAUUGUAUUCAGAGAAAUAUCCAAUAAACCAAAGACAUUGCUUUAACUGUGAAUGUACGUUAUUGCAGAUAUUUUCCUCAAAUAAAAUGGAG